AUUGAACGCUAGCGGCAGGCCUAACACAUGCAAGUCGAACGGAGCGGCGAACGGGUGAGUAAUGCCUCGGAAUCUGCCUAGUAGUGGGGGAUAACUACCCGAAAGGGGCGCUAAUACCGCAUACUAUCAGAUGGGCCUAGGUCGGAUUAGCUAGUUGGUGGGGUAAAGGCCUACCAAGGCGACGAUCCGUAGCUGGUCUGAGAGGAUGAUCAGCCACACUGGGACGGAGACACGGUCCAGACUCCUACGGGAGGCAGCAGUGGGGAAUAUUGUACAAUGGGGGCAAGCCUGAUCCAGCCAUCCCGCGUGUAUGAUGAAGGCCUUCGGGUUGUAAAGUACUUUCGGCGGGUAGGCGUUACCCGCAGAAGAAGCACCGGCUAACUCCGUGCCAGCAGCCGCGGUAAUUC
This 407-nucleotide ribosomal RNA is filed under the name uncultured bacterium. RNAcentral's name for it is "partial 16S ribosomal RNA". It matches the Rfam family "Bacterial small subunit ribosomal RNA", at positions 30 to 526 of the family's 1533-position model. The record is from RNAcentral.